RNAcentral lists this ribosomal RNA (770 nucleotides) under uncultured bacterium. RNAcentral's name for it is "bacterial SSU rRNA". It matches the Rfam family "Bacterial small subunit ribosomal RNA", at positions 28 to 776 of the family's 1533-position model. The record is from RNAcentral.
GACGAACGCUGGCGGCGUGCCUAAUACAUGCAAGUCGAGCGAAGUUUUUCUGGUGCUUGCACCUAGAAAAACUUAGCGGCGAACGGGUGAGUAACACGUAAAGAACCUGCCUCAUAGACUGGGACAACUAUUGGAAACGAUAGCUAAUACCCGGAUAACAGCAUUAACUGCAUGGUUAAUGUUUGAAAGUUGGUUUUGCUAACACUAUGAGAUGGCUUUGCGGUGCAUUAGCUAGUUGGUGGGGUAAAGGCCUACCAAGGCGACGAUGCAUAGCCGACCUGAGAGGGUGAUCGGCCACACUGGGACUGAGACACGGCCCAGACUCCUACGGGAGGCAGCAGUAGGGAAUCUUCCGCAAUGGGCGAAAGCCUGACGGAGCAACGCCGCGUGAGUGAAGAAGGAUUUCGGUUCGUAAAGCUCUGUUGUUAGGGAAGAAUGAUUAUGUAGUAACUAUACAUAGUAGAGACGGUACCUAACCAGAAAGCCACGGCUAACUACGUGCCAGCAGCCGCGGUAAUACGUAGGUGGCAAGCGUUGUCCGGAAUUAUUGGGCGUAAAGCGCGCGCAGGUGGUUUAAUAAGUCUGAUGUGAAAGCCCACGGCUCAACCGUGGAGGGUCAUUGGAAACUGUUAAACUUGAGUGCAGGAGAGAAAAGUGGAAUUCCUAGUGUAGCGGUGAAAUGCGUAGAGAUUAGGAGGAACACCAGUGGCGAAGGCGGCUUUUUGGCCUGUAACUGACACUGAGGCGCGAAAGCGUGGGGAGCAAACAGG